GAUGAACGCUGGCGGCGUGCCUAAUACAUGCAAGUCGAGCGAACAGACGAGGAGCUUGCUCCUCUGACGUUAGCGGCGGACGGGUGAGUAACACGUGGAUAACCUACCUAUAAGACUGGGAUAACUUCGGGAAACCGGAGCUAAUACCGGAUAACAUGUUGAACCGCAUGGUUCAACAGUGAAAGACGGUCUUGCUGUCACUUAUAGAUGGAUCCGCGCCGCAUUAGCUAGUUGGUAAGGUAACGGCUUACCAAGGCAACGAUGCGUAGCCGACCUGAGAGGGUGAUCGGCCACACUGGAACUGAGACACGGUCCAGACUCCUACGGGAGGCAGCAGUAGGGAAGCUGCCGCAAUGGGCGAAAGCCUGACGGAGCAACGCCGCGUGAGUGAAGAAGGUUUUCGGAUCGUAAAACUCUGUUAUUAGGGAAGAACAAAUGUGUAAGUAACUAUGCACGUCCUGACGGUACCUAAUCAGAAAGCCACGGCUAACUACGUG
RNAcentral lists this ribosomal RNA (497 nucleotides) under uncultured bacterium. RNAcentral describes it as "partial 16S ribosomal RNA". It matches the Rfam family "Bacterial small subunit ribosomal RNA", at positions 28 to 507 of the family's 1533-position model. The record is from RNAcentral.